GGAGAGGUGUCCGAGCGGCUGAAGGAGCAUGAUUGGAAAUCAUGUGUGCGGUUAUCCCGUACCCAGGGUUCAAAUCCCUGUCUCUCCGCCA
RNAcentral lists this transfer RNA (91 nucleotides) under Veillonella parvula. RNAcentral's name for it is "tRNA-Ser". It matches the Rfam family "tRNA". Rfam says of the family: Transfer RNA (tRNA) molecules are approximately 80 nucleotides in length. Their secondary structure includes four short double-helical elements and three loops (D, anti-codon, and T loops). The record is from RNAcentral. Lineage: Bacteria; Bacillati; Bacillota; Negativicutes; Veillonellales; Veillonellaceae. RNAcentral also lists the same sequence under 31 other names.